RNAcentral lists this ribosomal RNA (369 nucleotides) under uncultured bacterium. RNAcentral describes it as "bacterial SSU rRNA". It matches the Rfam family "Bacterial small subunit ribosomal RNA", at positions 28 to 391 of the family's 1533-position model. The record is from RNAcentral.
GAUGAACGCUAGCGGCAGGCCUAAUACAUGCAAGUCGAGCGGCAGUUGGGGUAGUAAUACAACAAUGAGAGCGGCGCACGGGUGCGUAACGCGUAUGCAACCUACCUCAUACAGGGGGAUAGCCCGGAGAAAUCUGGAUUAAUACCCCAUAGUACAUAGAGAUGGCAUCUGAACUAUGUUAAAGAUUUAUCGGUAUGAGAUGGGCAUGCGUCUGAUUAGCUAGUUGGCGGUGUAACGGACCACCAAGGCGACGAUCAGUAGGGGUUCUGAGAGGAAGGUCCCCACACUGCACGUGAGAUGACGGGCCAGGCAGCUCCUCACGGGGAGGCAGCAGUAGGGAAUAUUGGCAAUGGUCGGAAGACUGACCAG